UACGUAGGGUGCAAGCGUUGUCCGGAAUUAUUGGGCGUAAAGAGCUCGUAGGCGGUUCGUCGCGUCGGCUGUGAAAUCCCGAGGCUCAACCUCGGGUCUGCAGUCGAUACGGGCGGACUAGAGUUCGGUAGGGGAGACUGGAAUUCCUGGUGUAGCGGUGAAAUGCGCAGAUAUCAGGAGGAACACCGGUGGCGAAGGCGGGUCUCUGGGCCGAUACUGACGCUGAGGAGCGAAAGCGUGGGGAGCGAACAGG
This 253-nucleotide ribosomal RNA is filed under the name uncultured bacterium. Its description in RNAcentral is "partial 16S ribosomal RNA". It matches the Rfam family "Bacterial small subunit ribosomal RNA", at positions 524 to 776 of the family's 1533-position model. The record is from RNAcentral.